GACGAACGCUGGCGGCGUGCCUAAUACAUGCAAGUCGAACGCUUCUUUCCUCCCGAGUGCUUGCACUCAAUUGGAAAGAGGAGUGGCGGACGGGUGAGUAACACGUGGGUAACCUACCCAUCAGAGGGGGAUGACACUUGGAAACAGGUGCUAAUACCGCAUAACAGUUUAUGCCGCAUGGCAUAAGAGUGAAAGGCGCUUUCGGGUGUCGCUGAUGGAUGGACCCGCGGUGCAUUAGCUAGUUGGUGAGGUAACGGCUCACCAAGGCCACGAUGCAUAGCCGACCUGAGAGGGUGAUCGGCCACACUGGGACUGAGACACGGCCCAGACUCCUACGGGAGGCAGCAGUAGGGAAUCUUCGGCAAUGGACGAAAGUCUGACCGAGCAACGCCGCGUGAGUGAAGAGGGUUUUCGGGUCGUAAAACUCUGUUGUUAGAGAAGAACAAGGACGUUAGUAACUGAACGUCCCCUGACGGUAUCUAACCAGAAAGCCACGGCUAACUACGUG
RNAcentral lists this ribosomal RNA (508 nucleotides) under uncultured bacterium. Its description in RNAcentral is "partial 16S ribosomal RNA". It matches the Rfam family "Bacterial small subunit ribosomal RNA", at positions 28 to 507 of the family's 1533-position model. The record is from RNAcentral.